CAACAGGAGCUUUUGGCGGGAAUCAGGAAGGCUGCUGCUUGCAAACCGCCCAAAUUUGCAGCCUCUCACUGAGGGGAUUCUCCCCCCACCCCACCCCGUGCAUAUAACCUUCCUUUUCUUUUUAGUCCCCUCCGCCUCCUUCAGAUGUUUGCUUGUUCCUGCCACCUUUUGGGGGACGGGGGGUGCAGCUUGGCAGAAAAAAACAGUGGUGAUAAAUAAUUGUGUGGUUAUAAGCCCCAGCCCUUUCAGUCAGUGUGCCAGGAGUGUGAUCACGCUGAGGAGAAACCAAAUGGGGUCUCUUGGGGCCUGAGGAGAUUGCCCCCUUGGGGUCUAUGCUCCUUGAUUCGGAAAAAAGUCCCUCAGAAAGGGAACCUUUCAGCAUGUUGCCUAAGUGGGAGGCUUGCCCGAAUGGGAUCAAUAGAGCCAAUUUCCAAGAAAAUAAAAAUUAAAACACAAGAGCUCAAACCAAGAGCUGUCUAAUGGACCGAGACAGGACUGGACCUGGGGAUUGAGUGACAGCUACCUAACCUACCUGCUAGCCUGCCCGAAAUUUGAUUGGUCUUGUCUCGGCGCAUGCAGAGGCUGAUAAACCCGUCACGUUGAGGAUGACCUCCCUAUACCUUGAAAAAGAACCCUGCAUGUAACAUUGCCUAUGGCUAGUUGCCCAAUGAGGAACACACUGAUAGAGAAGAAGCAUGCCCUCCUGUGCAUCAUCGGGAGAGGGCAUAACCUCCCUAAAUGCCUGCCUGGAGUCGGUGAUGGGCUGGAUGAGGGAUAACAUACUGAGACUGAAUCCGGCUAAGACGGAGGUACUCAUUGUACAGGGUCGGAACUCGAGAGAUGAUUUUGUUCUGCCUGUUCUGGAUGGGGUCACACUUCCCUGGAAGAAACAGAAAUGCUUGAAGCAGAGACCAUUCAGAGAGGCUUGGAAAGAUGCAUAGCAACAAGAGCCCUUUUUAGCCUACUUUUCAAUAGGCUUAUGAGAUCACCCAGCAUUCUCUGUCUGUGUGUGUCCCACCCCCCACCCAUCAACUUCACAACACCUGGACCAAUAUGAACCAAAUUGGGUACAGUUGUAGGGACACCUCAAUGGUGUAGUGAUGAUGUCAUUCACCCCGAUGCAAGAUGGCGGAUGCAUGAACAUUUGAGGUGCAAGAGAUCUAACAUGUGGACCGCAAUUUGAAUUGGAUUUAGUCCAGUUGUAGAGCCGGUGAAAGGAAAGUAGUUCUUACUAGAACAACUGGUUUUCCUCCUGCAGUUAUCAUGUCUUGCAUGACAGAUGUAGAGUUGUUGGACUGGAUACUUCCGGGUACUUAUUAUUCCUUCUGAAUCUUCUAUACUAAAUAAGUAGGAAGUGGUGUCACAUGAAGAGCAGUUUCCUGCACAGAUCCAAGCCCCUAUUGCUGACUUUGUGGCUUGUGUACUCCAGAUCUUGCUUUUGUGGAAUAGCACUUGUCUUAUGUGCUCAAAUUACCUAGGAGAAAGGGUAAGGUGUAAUCCAGAGGGGGCCUGCCCUCUGCCUUUUUUUUUUUUUAAACAGCCCCCUAGUUACUGUUUUUAGAAGACUUCAGAAAACCACAUGGCUCUGUGGUCACCAGGAUUCGACAGCGUCUCGAUGGCACAACUUUACAGCGGGCCAUGACUGAGCUAAAACUGAGAGGAGUUGGAGAGUGGAUCUUGUGGAUUUCAUUAAGGGCCCCCUCAUGUUCCUUCUGUAAUUCUAGCACUGCUCUGUAAACUGCACAUGAAAACAGAGUUAUGCCAGGAUGUCAGUGUAGCCAGCAACAACAACAUCGUUUCAGUUAUUUACAGAAUGAUUUGUUUUGGUAUUCAUUUGUGGAUU
This is a long non-coding RNA of Hemicordylus capensis (graceful crag lizard), 1843 nucleotides long. RefSeq lists it as uncharacterized. The record is from RefSeq and is a predicted model, not a curated record. The transcript is spliced from 4 exons. NCBI's taxonomy places the organism in Eukaryota, Metazoa, Chordata, Lepidosauria, Squamata, Cordylidae.